GGCGGCGCCAACCCAAAGCACUAGCUCUGUAAAGCAGAGUCGUGCAGGAGUUCGUGGUGUAGCUCUGGAGUCGGGGGGUCCGGGUUGAAGUGCCAGCUCCACUCCCCCCCUUAUCACCGUGUGCAACUUCGUCUACUUUUCUGCACCUGGAUCUCUUCCCCUGUGAAGUGGGGAUGACAGCGAUCCGCGUCCUGUCGUCGUGGGGACGAGGGCUCAGGCCAGUAACCUAGCCACGCUCAGCUUCUGGCGACCGCUGCGGGGCACUACCAGUAUUUCAAGAGCCGGUGCCUUGAGUCUACACAGCUCAGAAGGCAGGUGGCCCAGCUCAGCUGAGGGUUCGGCUACAGGGUCACAGCAUUACCCCUGACCCGUCCUCAAGGCCUCCCACGGUCGGCCUUUGGCUGACCUCACCGACCUCUUCAAGCUCCCCUCAGACCACUUAUUAAAAGUAACUGAUGUAAGAAAUGGAGAAAGAAAAGAGCCCUCUGAUACUUUGCUGUAAGUAUUUCCAUAUUUUAUAUGUUCUUUCCAUAUUUUAUAUCCAUGAGUUUCUUCUCUUUUUAAAUAACAUUUUUUUUUCUUGGACCAUUUGACCGGGCUCCUCUUCUUUGCAACCAAAGAACCCAGACGGGAACAUUUCCUUCAAGUAAAUGGGUCAACCCCCCAGUACCCUCAUGCCCACUGCUAGGGCACAGGUGUCACACGGAUGACGUAUUGCGCAGGCGGGAUGCCGACGAGCCGUGAAGAGCAGAAGGCCGGGGUCCUUUUUCACGGUUCAAGAAGGAGAAGGAUGCUCUGGGAGGUAGCAGCAGCGGGCUAUCCACGUGCAAAAUCUGAGCAUCUUUUCUCAUGAGGGACUGAAGUAACUUGCUUCUUGUUGCAAAGAGGAAAAUCAGCUUCUCUUUUGAAGGAGUCUGUGUUUCGUCUGAAUGUAAACUAUGAUGACAUUUUCCAAUGGGAAGUGACGAUGCAGAACAGAUAUUCUUGCCACUUUUUUCCAGGUGAUUUAAUCUCCCACCCACCCCACCCCACCCCCAAAAAAAGGACACCUGAGUGGCUCAGCGGUUGAGCAUCUGCCUUUGGCUCAGGUCGUGACCCCAGGGUCCUGGGAUCCAGGCCCACAUCGGGCUCCCCACAUGGAGCCUGCUUCUCCCUCUGCUG
This 1161-nucleotide long non-coding RNA is filed under the name Vulpes vulpes (red fox). RNAcentral describes it as "lncRNA (ENSVVUG00000016841.1)". Lineage: Eukaryota; Metazoa; Chordata; Mammalia; Carnivora; Canidae. The record is from RNAcentral.